AUUGAACGCUGGCGGCAUGCCUUACACAUGCAAGUCGAACGGCAGCGCGGGAGCAAUCCUGGCGGCGAGUGGCGAACGGGUGAGUAAUAUAUCGGAACGUGCCCAGUAGUGGGGGAUAGCCCGGCGAAAGCCGGAUUAAUACCGCAUGAGACCUGAGGGUGAAAGCGGGGGAUCGCAAGACCUCGCGCUACUGGAGCGGCCGAUAUCAGAUUAGCUAGUUGGUGGGGUAAAGGCCUACCAAGGCAACGAUCUGUAGUUGGUCUGAGAGGACGACCAGCCACACUGGGACUGAGACACGGCCCAGACUCCUACGGGAGGCAGCAGUGGGGAAUUUUGGGACAAUGGGCGCAAGCCUGAUCCAGCAAUGCCGCGUGCAGGAAGAAGGCCUCGGUUGUAACUAGCUUUGUUCAGGGUAAGGAAA
Molecule: ribosomal RNA, 421 nt
Filed under: uncultured bacterium
Lineage: Bacteria
Description: bacterial SSU rRNA
Rfam family: Bacterial small subunit ribosomal RNA
Source: RNAcentral